GUAACAAGGUCUCAGUAGGUGAACCUGCGGAGGGAUCAUUACACAAUAACAAGGCGGGCUGGACACCCCCAGCCGGGCACUGCUUCACGGCGUGCGCGGCUGGGCCGGCCCUGCUGAAUUAUUCACCCGUGUCUUUUGCGUACUUCUUGUUUCCUGGGUGGGCUCGCCCGCCAUCAGGACCAACCACAAACCUUUUGCAAUAGCAAUCAGCGUCAGUAACAACGUAAUUAAUUACAACUUUCAACAACGGAUCUCUUGGUUCUGGCAUCGAUGAAGAACGCAGCGAAAUGCGAUACGUAGUGUGAAUUGCAGAAUUCAGUGAAUCAUCGAAUCUUUGAACGCACAUUGCGCCCUUUGGUAUUCCAAAGGGCAUGCCUGUUCGAGCGUCAUUUGUACCCUCAAGCUUUGCUUGGUGUUGGGCGUCUUUUGUCUCCAGUUCGCUGGAGACUCGCCUUAAAGUCAUUGGCAGCCGGCCUACUGGUUUCGGAGCGCAGCACAAGUCGCGCUCUUUGCCAGCCAAGGUCAGCGUCCAGCAAGCCUUUUUUUUCAACCUUUGACCUCGGAUCAGGUAGGGAUACCCGCUGAACUUAAGCAUAUCAAUAA
This 603-nucleotide unclassified non-coding RNA is filed under the name Alternaria roseogrisea. Its description in RNAcentral is "sequence contains 18S rRNA gene, ITS1, 5.8S rRNA gene, ITS2". The stretch from base 236 to 389 matches the Rfam family "5.8S ribosomal RNA". The record is from RNAcentral. Lineage: Eukaryota; Fungi; Ascomycota; Dothideomycetes; Pleosporales; Pleosporaceae.